RNAcentral lists this ribosomal RNA (454 nucleotides) under uncultured bacterium. Its description in RNAcentral is "bacterial SSU rRNA". It matches the Rfam family "Bacterial small subunit ribosomal RNA", at positions 340 to 786 of the family's 1533-position model. The record is from RNAcentral.
UACGGAAGGCAGCAGUGGGGAAUAUUGCACAAUGGGCGCAAGCCUGAUGCAGCCAUGCCGCGUGUAUGAAGAAGGCCUUCGGGUUGUAAAGUACUUUCAGUCGUGAGGAAGGUGUUAAGGUUAAUAACCUUAGCAAUUGACGUUAGCGACAGAAGAAGCACCGGCUAACUCCGUGCCAGCAGCCGCGGUAAUACGGAGGGUGCGAGCGUUAAUCGGAAUUACUGGGCGUAAAGGGCACGCAGGCGGUUAAUUAAGUUGGAUGUGAAAUCCCCGGGCUUAACCUGGGAAUGGCAUUCAAGACUGGUUAGCUAGAGUCUUGUAGAGGGGGUAGAAUUCCAUGUGUAGCGGUGAAAUGCGUAGAGAUGUGGAGGAAUACCGGUGGCGAAGGCGGCCCCUGGGACAAAGACUGACGCUCAUGUGCGAAAGCGUGGGGAGCAAACAGGAAUUAGAUACC